CCUACGGGAGGCUGCAGUGAGGAAUAUUGGUCAAUGGCCGGAAGGCUGAACCAGCCAUGCCGCGUGAAGGUCAGUGCCCUAUGGGCGUUAAACUUCUUUUGUGCGGGAGCAAUAAUGGUCACGUGUGGCCAGACGAGAGUACCGUACGAAUAAGCAUCGGCUAACCCCGUUCCAGCAGCCGCGGUAAUACGGGGGAUGCAAGCGUUAUCCGGAUUUAUUGGGUUUAAAGGGUGCGUAGGCUGUGAGGUAAGUCAGCGGUGAAAUGCCCCGGCUCAAUGGGGUGAAGUGCCAUUGAUACUGCCUGGCUGGAAUGCGAAUGACGUGGGAGGAAGGUGUGGUGUAGCGGUGAAAUGCAUAGAUAUCACACAGAACACCGAUUGCGAAGGCAUCUCACGAAUCCGCGAUUGACGCUGAUGCACGAAAGCGUGGGUAUCAAACAGGAUUAGAUACCCCUGUAGUC
This 460-nucleotide ribosomal RNA is filed under the name uncultured bacterium. RNAcentral describes it as "partial 16S ribosomal RNA". It matches the Rfam family "Bacterial small subunit ribosomal RNA", at positions 338 to 795 of the family's 1533-position model. The record is from RNAcentral.